UAUUGCAUAGUGCAUGACUGCUAGCUUCAGGAAAAAUAAAACGUUUUCAAUGGAAAUAUCAGAUCACCAACCUGAUUCCAAUGAAUUUUUUUUUAUUCACUGAGGCUUUAUGUCAUAUAAAAAUAUGUGACGUAUUACUGCUCUGCUGCCCAUCUAUUUAAGGCAUUCUUCAGUAGACUUGUCAGGGCUUAUCUAAAUCUUAGCACCACUUACGUGUGGCUGAUUGCUUGGCAGGAGGAGGUUCCUGCAUUUUCUUCCUCCUGUGUAUUAGUGAAUUGAAAUCAAGGGAAAAACUGCUUGGCUUUCUGCUUCCUUCCAUGUGGAGUUAACUGCCUCCUUCCUACAACAAUCCGAACGUACUUCCAUCACAGAGUAUCUAGCAGUGUGAGCAAUAGCCAUUUCUCUCUUUUACCUCUUCUGGAUUCUAAACCCAUCAUAGGUAGAGAUAGAACAUGUCUGUGCUUAGAUAGUAUCUGGCACAUACAGAUUGCUCACUUAAUGGUGAAUGAAUGAAUAAAGAAGAAAAAGUGAUGAAAGAAGAAAAACUACAGUCGUCUCUUGGUAUCUGUGGCACAUUCGUUCCAGGACCCUGAUGGAUGCCAAAAUCCUUGGAUGCUCAAGUCUCUGAUAUAAAAUGGCAUAGUGUUUGCAUCUAACCUACAUACAUUCUCCUGUAUACUUUAAAUUAUCUCUAGGUUACUUAUAAUACCUAAUAUAAUAUAAAUGCUAUGUAAAUAGUUGUUACACUGUAUUUUAAAAUUUGUAUUAUUUAUUAUUAUUAUUUAUUUACUUAUUUUUCCAAAUAUUUUUGAUCUGUGGUUGAUUGAAUCCAUGGGUGUGGAACCUGGGGAUAUGGAGGGCUGACUAUAUAUACUAAUGAACACUACUUUGGAUUAUAUGAAAAUACCCAUUUAUGAAAUGGACAGUUCAAAUGUUUCCUCUUUGACUGUUCUUAACCUGACCUCCCAACUUGAAGUAAUCUGUUCCUCUCCUCUAAACAGUUAUGUGUACUAUGUGUUUGGUAAUUAAUUAUGUACUGACUCAUGACAUUUGUUUCUGUUCUUAUAAUACUUUUUGAUUUUCAAAUACCUUAUGACUUUGUUUUUUAUUACAAUUUGUUUUCCCAUCAAGAUUGUAAAUUCUUGGAGGCAAGGGCAAUUAUUAAAUACUAUAUUUGAUACUUAAUUCGCUCCUCUCCUUUGGGGGCUCCAGUUACAUGUAUAUUAGGCCAGUUGAAGUUGUUCCUCAACUCACUGAUUCUGUUUACUUUUUUAAUUCCCUUUUUCCCUCUGUAUCUUAUUUUGGAUAGUUUUGAUUUUUGUGUUUUUGAGUUUACUAAUAUUUAUCCUCUGCAAUGUCUAAUCUGAUGUUAAUCCCAUCCAGAGUAUUUUUCAUCGCAUACAUUGUAGAUUUCACCUCUAGAAGUUUGAUGUAGCUCUUUUUUUUUUUUUGAGACGUAGUCUUGCUCUGUUGUCAGGCUGGAGUGCAGUGGUAUGAUCUCGGCUCACUGCAACCUCCGCCUCCCUGGUUCAAGUGAUUCUCCUGCCUCAGCCUCCCAAGUAGCUGGGACUAUAGGCGCAUGCCACCACGCCCCACUAAUUUUUUUUUUUUUCUGUAUUUUUAGUAGAGACGGCGUUUCACCAUGUCGGCCAGGAUGGUCUUGAUCUCUUGACCUCGUGACCCGCCCACCUCGGCCUCCCAAAGUGCUGGGAUUACAGGUGUGAGCUACCACGCCCUGCUGAUGUAGCUCUUUUUCAUAUCUUCAGUGUCUCCACUUACUUUUUGAACUUAGGGAAUAUAGUUAUAAUAACCAUUUUAAUGUUCUGUCUGCUAAUUCUAACAUCUGUGUCAGUUUUGAUUGACUUUUUUUUUUUUCCUCCUCAUCAGGGGUUAUAUUUCCCUGCUUUAUGAAUGCCUGGUAAUUUUUGAUUAGAUGCCAGACAUUGUGAAUUUUCCUUGUUGGGUACUGGCUAUUUUUGUAUUCCUACAAAUAUUUUUGAACUUUGUUCUGGAAUGUGUUUAAGUUGUUUAGAAGCAGUUUGAUCCUUUUGGAAAGUCUUGCUUUGAAGAUUUGGAAGACUGAAAUAGUUGUACUUAGUCUAUAACUAAUUAUUCUCCAUGACAGUGAAAACACUCUUCUAUGUGCUCUCCUCGUGGCGUGGGGAAUCAUGAGGUUUUCCAAUCUGGAAAUAUCUUUUUGGAUAUUUCUUUCCCCAGUGCUGGGUAGUUGCCACACAUGUAUGCACUGAUCAGCACUCUGCUGAAUACUUGAGGGGGAUUCUCUGUGGCUCUUUCUGCAGCUCUCUUUUCUCUGAUACUUGGCCUUGCAAACUCUAGUUGCCUUGGUCUCCCUGGACUGUUAGCUCAAUUCACUCAACUCAGGCAGUUCACUGAGCUCUGCCUGAGUUCUCCCUUUCCUCCAGACACCUUGAGCUGGAAAUUCUCUCAGGCAGUAAGCUGGAGGACUCGUAGGAUUCGUUUCAUUUGCCUUCCUUCUUCCAGGGAUCACUGCCCUUUACUGACUGUUAUACCAGUCUUGACAAUUAUCCUGUUACUCCAACUUGGCCAGAAAUGGAAGUGAUACAUUUUAUUCUUUCUGUCUGAAAUAAUCCUCCAUCCCCAAUGUUUAAAAACUGCCAUCCUUGACUCCAUGUGACUGUGUUAGGAGCCCUUUCUCUGGUCUCUCAUCAUACCUGUGCUUACAGUAAUUUAGUGCGGCACUCCUCUCCCUGCGUUGUUCUUGCAUUUUUUUUUACCCUCUCUUUUCUCGUUAGAUUUUGUUUCCUUGAGGACAGGGAAUGUCUUUAAUCUCGGGAUUUCUAACACCUAACAUAGACUCAGGUGUGUAACAGUUGCUCAAUAAGUACUUGUUGAAUGAAUGAAUUAAUAAAUAAAUAGGAUUCAAUUUUCAAAGUAUCUGUUGUUGAACAACUUUCAGAAGUUUUUUUUUUUUUUUACAGAAAUGAGAUUAGAUAUGCAUCUUCAUAUAUGCAAUUGAAAUCUCUCUUAAAUUUCUAGAUAAUCAGUUGUUGUUGAUGGCUUGGACAUGGUUUUUACCUAUUUAUUUUUUGUAGCCUCUCCUUAGAAGGUGUUAAUAAAAGCCACCUAGUUGAUGCUUGAAACAACAUGUGGAGGUAAAGGGACCAAGAAUAGAAUAGCCAUAUUCUAUAAACAAACAAAAUGAAGACUAACUUUUAGGUAUCUGUUUUAUGAUGGACCCUCAGAUGUGGUAUAUCCCAAGUCUGCCAGGAGGUUGUUCUUAUCUGAAGUGCCUUUUCCAUGUUGGAUGUACUUAGAUGCCUUUUAUCCAGGUAGACUCAGAUGGUCUGCAAAUAGCUCUAUGGAUUUGGCAUUGGAAAACCUCAUGGUUCCCCAGGCAUGGGGAGAGCACAUAAAAGUGUUUUCUCUGUCAUGGAGAAUAAAUAGCUGUGAGUCGUUGCAUUCUUAUCAACUGGAGACAAUUGACAGUGGAUAUGUGCCACUAGAGUUAUGGUCAAGUGCAAGUUCAUACUAUAUUUGGAUCUUUAAGAGUCGGUAGAAUGAACCAUAUUUGGUAAGCCUCUGAAGACUGUCUUGCUCCAUUUCCUCAGCAGCUCUUGGUUACCAAAGGUGACUCUGGAGCCCCACCUCCAAGUCCCCAUCCUGCACAGUUGGCAUGAUGGAAAUGGCUUGAGGUUCUUGUUCUUUCAGAUUCAGUGUUUUCAUCUGUGCAGUAGGAUAUAAGUAGGAUAAGAUGUAAUUUGUCAGGUUGCUAUGAGGAAUAAAUGAAGUAAUAAAUGUUAGUUGCCUAUCACAGUUUCAGGCACAUGGGAACCCUCUCCCCAUUCCCCCAAACUUAAUUGAAAAGAUAGCCAUCAGCCUCUGAAGUUGAAUUGUGCUGAGUGGUUACUAACAUUAAAGACAUAUGGAGUUAUUGUAUCUGUAUCUUUCACUUAUCAGCUUUUCCUUGAAGGUUUAAUGUGUGUUCCUUUGCUUUUAGGCCCCAUGUUUAUUUUCCUGAAAUGGUGUCUUCUUGACUUAAAGUACAAUCUUUGCUUUUUUAUUCUUUUUUCACUGCUCUUGCCUGGUGAUCCUGUUGUUUAAAGACAUCUCCAUCCUUCCCUAUCCUUUCCCUUUCAAAUCUAUGGCCCAGACUGGGGGUGGCUUUAACUAACAACAGCACUUUGCAUUAGUUAAGUAGAGUGGAAUUUCUCAUUCUACCUCUCAGCUAUUGAUGAAACCUUUCCCUGAUGCACAAAUUAAGACUGGGUGUAUUUUGCAUAUUUUCCUAGAAUGACACAGUGAUUCUGUGGCUAAACCAAGAUUAGACCCUACCACUUUAAAAAAUCUGACUUUUUGCUUAAAGUGUAAACUGUGUUGCUUCUAAAACUACUAGUUGAAUUUAACUUUCAAGUGUACUUUGUAUUUAAAUCUGAUGAUAGUGUUGUUUUUCCUUUUGUCUUGUUUAGAUGAGGGUAUUUUCUUCACUUCCCUGACCCCUAGUGCCUCAGUGACCUAGGCAGCAAGUUUUUUGAUGCUGUCCAGAAUGCUAAUUAAGAUAUUUAUUCUCUUUGGCCCUAUUGUUUAUGAUACUUGUAAUUAUGUCUAUUAGAUGGUAAUCUCUGUUAUCUCCCACUAUACUAAGUGUACUACUCGGCACAUAAAGAAAUGUGUGAGUAUGUGAAUGUAUACUCACAUGUUUGAAUAAAUGUGAAUAAAUCAAUAUAUUUAUAUAGUUACUGAUUUAAAUGUGUUCCGUCUUGGGAUGUGAGAUGGGAUAAUUGAAUAAGAAAUUAGCCUGUGUG
Molecule: long non-coding RNA, 4784 nt
Filed under: Homo sapiens (human)
Lineage: Eukaryota; Metazoa; Chordata; Mammalia; Primates; Hominidae
Description: HSALNT0292862
Source: RNAcentral